RNAcentral lists this long non-coding RNA (527 nucleotides) under Olea europaea subsp. europaea. The record is from RNAcentral. Lineage: Eukaryota; Viridiplantae; Streptophyta; Magnoliopsida; Lamiales; Oleaceae.
CUCAAAUUUUGUAAUCUAAAUAAAAGAAGAUUUUAUAUUUAAAUUCAGAUAUUUAAAUAGAGGAUGUUAAGUAGUUGAGCAUAUGGAUAACAUGUGUGAAUUUGAAGAUAUUCUCCUGGAAAUGGAUCGUAUUUUAUGACCUGAAGGGACCGUCAUUUUCAGAGACGAAAUCGACGCAUUGAACAUGGUCAGUAAAAUUGCCAAAGGCAUGCAAUCGGUGACAAAAAUGAUGGAUCAUGAGGAUGGCCAUUUAGUACCCGAAAAAUUACUUAUUGGAGUCAAAUAGUAGUGGGUUGCUAACAGCACAUCCAAAGCCAAAUGAAAGUAUCAGUAUUUCAUCCAAUAUAAAAGUGAACUCACAAUACAAUCAGUAUUUGUUAGAAGAUACGUAUUUAGUCAUUAGAGUCAAAUGAACUCCGUGUGUAUGGGCUUAUACUGUAAAUGAGAUUCUUCCAAGAUAGUUCAAGUGGCCAAUCCAUGACUAUCUUUUUUUAUUGGUCAUUUAAAUUUGUACUGUUCAAUCAAUC